Molecule: small RNA, 28 nt
Filed under: Bombyx mori (domestic silkworm)
Lineage: Eukaryota; Metazoa; Arthropoda; Insecta; Lepidoptera; Bombycidae
Description: ovarian small RNA-22029
Source: RNAcentral
UAGAGUCACAUUCUCUAGCACCUGCCUU